Molecule: ribosomal RNA, 501 nt
Filed under: Triticum aestivum (bread wheat)
Lineage: Eukaryota; Viridiplantae; Streptophyta; Magnoliopsida; Poales; Poaceae
Description: partial small subunit ribosomal RNA
Source: RNAcentral
AUGUCGGCGGCAGCAGCAGCAGCAGCAGGCGGCAGCGCGCUACGGCCAGCCCUCGCGCUGGCGCUGGCGGUGGCGCUGGCGCUCUGGCCGUCGCCGGCGCGGGCCGGGUUCAGCUGCCGCCCCGGCGCGCGGCCGGUGGUGUUCAACUUCGGCGACUCCAACUCCGACACGGGCGGCCCGGCUGCCAAGGGGUGGCACAUCGCGCCGCCGGAGGGCCGCGCCUUCUUCCACCACCCCACCGGCCGCUUCUGCGACGGCCGGCUCGUCAUCGACUUCCUCUAUACUCACAACCUUUAUGUGCCAACAAAUCAUGUGAUGGAUCAAUCUGUCCUGUUAUCUGAAAUCCAACGGCUGAGGAUCGCGUUCCUUCGACGUCCUUGGGCUCUUCUUCUUCCGUUGGUGCUUCUGAUGGGAGGUUGGCUGUUGAGGGUGGUUCUAAUCUUGGUUCGAGGGUUGAUGAGGCGUGGCGGCGACACGAGGAACGACCGCCGUGGGAAAUGA